UGGCGACGGGUGAGUAAUGUCUGGGAAACUGCCUGAUGGAGGGGGAUAACUACUGGAAACGGUAGCUAAUACCGCAUAACGUCGCAAGACCAAAGAGGGGGACCUCGGGCCUCUUGCCAUCGGAUGUGCCCAGAUGGGAUUAGCUAGUAGGUGGGGUAACGGCUCACCUAGGCGACGAUCCCUAGCUGGUCUGAGAGGAUGACCAGCCACACUGGAACUGAGACACGGUCCAGACUCCUACGGGAGGCAGCAUG
RNAcentral lists this ribosomal RNA (254 nucleotides) under uncultured bacterium. Its description in RNAcentral is "partial 16S ribosomal RNA". It matches the Rfam family "Bacterial small subunit ribosomal RNA", at positions 96 to 353 of the family's 1533-position model. The record is from RNAcentral.